Molecule: ribosomal RNA, 253 nt
Filed under: uncultured bacterium
Lineage: Bacteria
Description: partial 16S ribosomal RNA
Rfam family: Bacterial small subunit ribosomal RNA
Source: RNAcentral
UGCGUAGGGUGCGAGCGUUAAUCGGAAUUACUGGGCGUAAAGCGUGCGCAGGCGGUGAGCUGUGUCCGAUGUGAAAGCCCCGGGCUUAACCUGGGAAUGGCAUUGGAAACUGGCUCGCUGGAGUGUGGCAGAGGGGGGUGGAAUUCCGCGUGUAGCAGUGAAAUGCGUAGAGAUGUGGAGGAACACCGAUGGCGAAGGCAGCCCCCUGGGCUGAGAUUGACGCUCAGGCACGAAAGCGUGGGGAGCAAACAGG